RNAcentral lists this ribosomal RNA (1505 nucleotides) under uncultured Planctomycetota bacterium. RNAcentral's name for it is "uncultured planctomycete 16S ribosomal RNA". It matches the Rfam family "Bacterial small subunit ribosomal RNA". The record is from RNAcentral. Lineage: Bacteria; Pseudomonadati; Planctomycetota.
CAUGCAAGUCGAACGAGAAAGUUUCCUUCGGGAAGCGAGUAAAGUGGCGAACGGGAGAGUAACGCGUGGGAAAUCUGCCCUUCAGCGGGGGACAACAUCUCUAACGAGGUGCUAAUACCGCAUACGACCUAGGCUCCACAUGGCGCCCUGGUGAAAGAUGGCCCCUUCUUGAAAGCUGUCACUGAAGGAUGAUCCCGCGUCCCAUUAGCUUGUUGGUGGGGUAAUGGCCUACCAAGGCGACGAUGGGUAGCCGGCCUGAGAGGGUGUCCGGCCUCACUGGGACUGAGAUACGGCCCAGACUCCUACGGGAGGCAGCAGUCGAGAAGCUUCGGCAAUGGACGAAAGUCUGACCGAGCGACGCCGCGUGAGCGAUGAAGGUCCUAGUGAUCGUAAAGCUCUGUCAGGAGGGAAUAAAUGCCUGCGGUCAAUACCCGCAGGAGUUGAAGGUACCUCCAGAGGAAGCGCCGGCUAACUAUGUGCCAGCAGCCGCGGUAAUACAUAGGGCGCAAACGUUGUUCGGAUUUACUGGGUUUAAAGGGUUCGUAGGCGGGCUGAUAAGUCAGAGGUGAAAGCCAACGGCUCAACCGUUGAAUUGCCUCUGAUACUGUUAGUCUUGAGUCCGUUAGGGGAUGGUGGAAUUCCUGGUGUAGCGGUGAAAUGCGUAAAUAUCAGGAGGAACACCGGUGGCGAAGGCGGCCAUCUGGGACGGUACUGACGCUGAGGAACGAAAGCUAGGGUAUCAAACGGAAUUAGAUACCCCGGUAGUCCUAGCCGUAAACGAUGCGCACUAGGUGUUGGAGGAUUCUACCCCUUCAGUGCCGCAGCUAACGCAUUAAGUGCCCCACCUGGGGAGUACGAUCGCAAGGUUGAAACUCAAAGGAAUUGACGGGGGCCCGCACAAGCGGGUGGAGCAUGUGUUUAAUUCGAUGCAACAGCGAAGAACCUUACCUGGACUUGACAGCAGGUGUCAGCCGGGAAACACGGUCUCUCUUCGGAGCACCUGUGCAGGUGCUGCAUGGCUGUCGUCAGCUCGUGUCGUGAAAGUUGGGUUAAGUCCCGCAACGAGCGCAACCCUUGUCCUUAGUUGCCAUCAGGUUAUGCUGGGAACUCUAGGGAGACUGCCGGUGACAAACCGGAGAAGGUGGGGAGACGUCAAGUCAUCAUGGCCCUUACGUCCAGGGCUACACACUGCUACAAUGGCCGGUACAAUGGGCUGCGAAACCGCGAGGUUAAGCGAAUCCCAAAAAGCCGGUCUCAGUUCGGAUUACAGUCUGCAACUCGACUGUAUGAAGCUGGAAUCGCUAGUAAUCGCGCAUCAGAACGGCGCGGUGAAUACGUUCCCGGGCCUUGUACACACCGCCCGUCAAGUCAACCGAGUUGGUUGCACCCCAAGGUCGCUAGCCAACCUCUUCGGAGGAGGCAGGUGCCCAAGGUGUGAUUGCGAGGGGGGGACUAAGUCGUAACAAGGUGCCGUAUCGGAAGGUGCGGCUGAUCACCUCCUUUCU